This 772-nucleotide long non-coding RNA is filed under the name Homo sapiens (human). RNAcentral describes it as "HSALNT0394707". Lineage: Eukaryota; Metazoa; Chordata; Mammalia; Primates; Hominidae. The record is from RNAcentral.
UCAUUACCACGGACCUUCCUGGCUUGCUAACUAAGUUUCUAUUUAAUUGGUUUUUACAACAUGACCUAGUUCCUGAGACUUCAGACUCUUGGAAGGCAGAAUGUGGCAGGAGUGUAAGAUCACCUGCACAGCGGCCAGAACAUCACAGCAAACACACAACACACAGAUAAAAAUUCAUUUAGUAACAUAUAAAGGAUAUCAAGUCAUGAAGGCACUACAUAAAUGAAGCAUUUCCCAAAACACUGAGCAGAGAAUUCCAGAAGGACUCUGAGAAAACACAUGGCCUCUGCAGUCAGCAGCAGAUCCAAGGCCUCUUCUGUGGAGUCUGUUCCCUCUUCCCACCCACACAUCUCUGGAUACUUCUGCCAGCCAUAGAUUUUCCUUCUGUGUUUACCUCGUUUGAGGCUCAGGUGAAAAACCAGAUGACUUACAAAGGAAUCAGAUAUCGCCAUUGGCCUUUUCUCACAAGCCAAAACAUCAUGCCACUCGAUCUGUUUUUGUUUGCUUUUUAACAUGAAAAAAAUGCAGGCUGUGUAGAAUGGAAAAUUUGUGAGAAAUUCUAUUGAAAGAGAAAUUCAUUGAACUUGGUGGACAUCGACAAAAAAGUUUAGUCAUACUUAUUUUCUAAAUAAUAAACUAUACUUUGGUUGGGUAAGUUUGGAAAAUGUAAAGCAUGAAUAAAUGACACACAUUCCUUAAUCCUAAUUCUCAUAUAUGCUGUUUACAUUUUAUUGUAUAAUGCCUAUACACAAUAAACAAAAUCCAGGCUGUA